Non-coding RNA from Bactrocera oleae (olive fruit fly), 2054 nucleotides. The record is from RefSeq and is a predicted model, not a curated record. NCBI's taxonomy places the organism in Eukaryota, Metazoa, Arthropoda, Insecta, Diptera, Tephritidae.
AUUACCAGCCUGUGUCAUUAUGUAGUUUAAUUACGUUAAAUUUUUAAAUUUUAUUAAAAUUUUAGUAAGUCUAGUCAAGGCAUAAACCUUAUAAUAAAGGAUCGAUAGUGAGACGAAAAUAAAAUAUCGAUUGUUUUAGUGCUCCAAUUUGUACCAUUGUAUAAGCCUAGAUUUAUAAAAUGAUUUCUACUCGGAAGACGCUUCAGUAAUUAAAUAAAUCACUUUUAAAACAUAUUAAUGAGUUACGUUAUUGGUCCAAACCUGUAACAGACAUUGAAUAUAAAAAUGUGUACUAUAUAAUGUAUUACCUCGUGGCUUAUAGUUAGCAUUGGCUUACUAUUUUAUUUAACCAAAAGAAGAAAUACUUACAUAUGCAUAUGUUUGCUACUUUCCAUUGCUUUGUCUAAGCAGAACAUAAUAUCAAUGUAGGCUAUGAAGUGAAGAUAUUGAAGUAAAACAUUGAUAUAACUAAAACACAAAUUUAAAAAUAUGGUGGCUGGCAUUUAUCAAAAUAUUCUUAUUCAAAGUAUAGUACUUAAAUAUAUGUAUGUAUUAAUGUGUAUUUUGAAACGAUCGGAUUUCUUAAAUUAUGAGGACAUCGACUUAUAAUAAUAUGUUAUAUAAACUUGAGGUGACGUCUGUUGCAAUUACGGAAGAAGAGUAUAUUGCAAAGAAACUUUGAAAAUACUAAUUCUAACUAUAAUUGUGUUUAUCACAUUAGAAAUGUUCAAAAAAUUUAAGAAAAUGUCGAAGUUAAAUAAUUCUUGCGAAUACACUUCUGGAAAAAACAAAUUCAUCGACAACAAGGGUGGCUCGUUUAUAAAAACUAGUGGUAUUACAAAUAAUGUUAAUCCCCCCAUAGAAAUAAUAUCUAUCAUCAAUAAGCGGAUAUUUCCACCAAAACUUCCUACGCCAAAUGCCAAUAAAAGCUUUGAACAUUUUUGGCACAGUUAGAAUUCUCUGAAAUUCUUUCUUUGAUUCUGCUUAAAAAUGAAAAACUAAUAAUAACAAGUAACUGCAUAAUGCUGUACCUCAUAAUAGAAACCGUUAACAGCGUGCAUUAAUUACUACAAUUCAGUAAAAUGGGUCGUAGGAGAGCGGAAAGGACAGCAGAGGAGCGAAAAAUUAUUUUAAGUCUACAUUCCGCCAACAAAAGCUAUGCGGAAAUUGGCGAAAUAAUGACGUUAAGUCUUUUUAGUAUUCGAAGCAUAAUCAAGUGUUUUAAAGAUGUGAGUUGUCUCCAGAGUUGCGAACGUUCGGGCCGUCCACGUAAACUUAGUUUUAAAGAGGAGGCGUACAUGGUACGUAAAAUAAAAAAAAAUCCAAAGCUGACUUCAACAAAGAUUGCUGCGGACCUUACGGAAGAAUUAAAGAAACAUGUGCAUCAAAAAACAGUGCAGCGUGUGCUUAUUGGUAACGGGUACAAAUCCAGAAAAGGCUCGAAAAAAACCUCUUAUCAGCAAUGCCAACAAAAAAAACCGUUUAGAAUUUGCUAAAGAGUAUAAAAACAAAUCUAUGGAUUUCUGCGACAAAGUACUGUUCAUAGACGAAUGCAAAUUUAACAUUUUCCAAAGCGACGGUCGAAUACGGGUCUGGAGAAAGGCAAAUACUGAAUUUGACAAAAACAAUAUUAGUAAUACCGUAAAGCAUGGAGGUGGUGGAGUCAUGGUUUGGGCAUGAAUGACGGCGUCAGGCGUUGGGAAAUUAGUAUUUAUUGAUGGACAAGAUAAUGAUCCCAAACAUACAGCUUAUGACGUUUGUAUGUGGAUCAUUCAUCACGUUCCCCACGUUAUAGCAACUCCUCCACAAUGACCGGAUUUAAAUCCCGUUGAAAAGCACAAUGUAACAAGUAAAAGCCAACUAAAAGAGGUAUUGCAGCGUGAAUGGGCCAAUAUUGGAUCUAAGGUGACAAGUAAAUGGUGCAUUCCACGCCAAAUCGUUUAAAUCACGUUGUUAAAAUUAAAGGUUUAAAUACCCGUUAAAAAAUCUGCAUUUUCUUUUCUAUAUUUAAAUAAAAGUUCUAACUGUGCCAAAAAUUUUUGUCCACCGACAUA